Molecule: non-coding RNA, 27 nt
Filed under: Mus musculus (house mouse)
Lineage: Eukaryota; Metazoa; Chordata; Mammalia; Rodentia; Muridae
Source: RNAcentral
ACGAGGUCUCUGGUCCCUUUAUCCUGC